This 380-nucleotide ribosomal RNA is filed under the name uncultured bacterium. Its description in RNAcentral is "partial 16S ribosomal RNA". It matches the Rfam family "Bacterial small subunit ribosomal RNA", at positions 338 to 733 of the family's 1533-position model. The record is from RNAcentral.
CCUACGGGAGGCAGCAGUGGGGAAUAUUGGGCAAUGGGCGCAAGCCUGACCCAGCAACGCCGCGUGAAGGAAGAAGGUACUCGGGUUGUUAACUCCCUUUAAGAGGGAAGAGCAGAAGACGGCACCUCUUGAAUAAGCCACGGCUAACUACGUGCCAGCAGCCGCGUUAAUACGUAGGUGGCAAGCGUUGUCCGGAUUUACUGGGUGUAAAGGGCGUGCAGCCGGGAAGACAAGUCAGAUGUGAAAUCCCGCGGCUCAACCGCGGACCUGCAUUUGAAACUGGGUUUCUUGAGUACCGGAGAGGUAAGCGGAAUGCGUUGUGUAGCGGUGAAAUGCAUAGAUAUAAGGAAGAACACCGGUGGCGAAGGCAGAAGACUGGA